RNAcentral lists this long non-coding RNA (5062 nucleotides) under Triticum aestivum (bread wheat). RNAcentral's name for it is "long non-coding RNA (TAES_LNC017480)". Lineage: Eukaryota; Viridiplantae; Streptophyta; Magnoliopsida; Poales; Poaceae. The record is from RNAcentral.
CCGCCAGAACUCCUGGGACUUGUUCUCAAGCGCCUCCCUUCCCUAGCUGACCGUGUUCAUUUGAGAGCUGUCUGCCACCCAUGGCGCUCUAAUAGCAGGUUGCAGACCCUUCCUCUCCCAUUCCUGUGGCUCACUCUCCCUGAUGGCACCUUCCUCAGCAUUCCAAGCGGUGAAAUUCACCACAUAUCUUUACCGGAAGGUGUGUCUUGCCAGGGCUCCAUUGACAACUUGCUAUUCCUCAUGCACAAUGAUGGUGUGUGCUACUUGAUGAACCCUUUCUCCAAGACCAGGUUGCAGCUUCCUAAGCUAGCAAAGGUAUGGAAGCGUGAGAUAUAUGAUCCCGAACCCCGAAUUAACCCAAUUUUCCACAACUUGGUGGUGCCCUUUUCACUUGACUCGUCACCCUGUUCCCUACUUGGUGCACUGAUCAUGGAUGAUGGUAACUGGGGUACACUUUGUAUUAGUCAACCACCGAUUGUCACUGACUCAUUCAGAGAUGAUAAGCAUCCAGCAAAGCUCCUCUGUAGUGUUGCGUUCUUUGAUGGCAAGCUGUACGGGCUGGGGGGGGGGUUUGACCAACUAUUCAUCUUUGAAUUAGACAAGGACCUUGGUAUUUCAUCCAUGGAGUGUAUAAUUGACUAUGGGUGAGUUAGGUGGAAUACCUCAAUCGUUGUCGGAAGAGAAGGCGUAUAUGAUAAGGGGGUAUCUAGUUGAAUGUGGCGAUAGACUGUUGAUGGUGAAACGGUGGAUUCAUCCUAUUGCCCGUUCAACAAGUGAUGACUUUUUCGAGCAUAACCGUACUGUUGCACUUGGGGCUUUUGAGGCAGAUUUGGGCACCGAUCCAGCUGGAUGGAGAACAGUAAAUGAUUUGGAUGGCCAUGCGCUCUUUCUUGGCCAGCAUAGCUCCAAGUCCCUGCGCGCUGGAGAAUGCAGUGGAUACCAAGAGGACUGCAUCUACUUCAUGUGUGACUAUUCCUGGCCAAAGCAUUCUGCAAAUCCUCUUCGUGAUGCCGGUGUUUAUAACAUUAGGAAUCAGACAUUCAUGCCACUGAUGUCGGGGACUGCAGCGGUACCGCCACGUCAUGCUGUCCAGUGGCGUCCGACAUGGUUUUUCCCUCCUGAAGCUGUGUGACCAAGCCUCUUAAUCACUGAUCCUCAGAGUAAUUGUUGGAUAAUGUAUCUGAGAUGGAAGUUGGAAGGGCUUCGUCCUCACAGCGACAGGUGAGUUGUUGAUGGAUGGUAGAGAUUCGUAGUGUUAGUUUCUGUGUUGGUAGGCUGGUAGGUUCAGUUUGAUGAGUGAUGUGUUCUACCUGGUGGCUGUUGUUCUGUCUUGUGGUGGCUGAACUUAGUGAUCCUGUCCUAGUGUAGCGUUGUAACUGCUGUUGCCUGAACUUUUAAACGCGGGCCGCUGUAUCAUUAGUUUUAUUUUAAUUAAAUUGGAGGGUGUGUUCUCCUUUCAUCAAAAUUUUCUUGUAUGAUGUUAGAUUCUGUAUUAGUAUGAUGAUAGAGAUGUUUUGCAUUUUCAAGUAUUAUGGAUGAUUUGUUUUUGCUGGUAUUAUGGAUGAUUUUUAACAGGAUGCAUUGUAAUGCGCAAGUCUUUUGCUGUGAUAUAAGACUAAAGGCAUCUCUCACAGAAUCUUUAAAUUUUGUAACUCCUCAUGUUGGCAUCAUUUGGGGAGUCAAACCGUAGCUAACGGAAGCCCUAUAACUAUAACUCCUCAAAAUUUUGAGUUAACCCUAUGCCUUCUCUGCUCAAAUUUGAGCACGUCAUACCCAUUCUCCUCAAAUCUCCUCUCAUCGAGAAAAUGGCUCAACCGGCGGCAAGAUGCCAAACUGAACCAGCCCACGCCAGUAUAAACCCCGUCGGUGCCACACCAAACCCUAAAUCCUUCUUGGCCGCCCUAUUUCUCCCAAAUCACCGUCGCCACCACCCAAUUUUGUCAUCACUGUUCGAAUGGCCAUGGCUCGCUGCCUGCAGCGGGUAGAGCAGUGGGGUGUUGCUGUGCCGGAUGUCAUCCUCGGAUGAUGACUACAAUGACGAGCCAGAGGCGGUGCAGCUCGCAGUAGCCAUGGCCGAGGAAGCCGAUGAAGAGGAGGAGGGGGGCGAUGAAGAGGAGGAGGGGCAAGGUGAUGGAGGAGGAUGAGCAGUCGACGAAGGAAGCCGUGCACGAGGACGGCGCCUACGACCACACCUACCUCCCUUCAAGGGAGGAGGCGGAGCAGAUCAAUACAACAGUUUUCGGUGUGCACUUUGGUAGCUUUGUAGGCGCUCGAGUACCUAGUUCGGUGUGUUAGCCUUCCGUCGCUUUGUAUGUAUUGUGGUGCUUUAGGUCUAAUCUAGCUAGCCUUUGUUUUAGGUUUUUGCCCGGUUUUCCUCCGAAACCGAGCAGCCUCUUUGUUUUUUACACAUGUCUUUAUGCGAUGCAUUAUCUCUCCGAGGUCUUCUUGUAAUAUCCUUUUUUAAUCAAUGGAUUUGACAGUUCUCCUGUCAACAUUAUAAAAUGAUAAGGUUCAAAAAAAAAUAUAAAAUGAUAUCGAAGAUGGGCAUGUAAAUUUGUUCCCAAGAUUCCUAAAUGUUUGAAAGGCUUUUCUAGUUAUCGUUUUAAGAGCAACACUAGCAGACCCCUUAUACUCGAGAACUGUAAACGCGAUAUAAGGGUCAAGAAAGCAGGGACCCGACAAGGUAGUCCUUCGUCCCGAUGACGCCGCGGCCGCCCGGGCGCUCCUCCCCCGGCUCGAUCUUGACGGGGAGGAGGUCGCCAGAGUCCCUCUCCCUCUUCACGGGCAGCAGCCCCGCAUCGGAAGUGCUCCCCGCGCCCGAAGAGCUCCCCGCGUCGGAGUGCCUCGCAUGGCGGAGGUCGUACUCCUCCGUCUUGCGGCGGAGGAGGGAGCCAGCAACCCAUACCUGGUGUACCGCUUGACCGCGCGCUUGCGCGCCGCGUCGGAGGUGAAGCAAUCUUUGCGCUCCGGGUCAUCGCCGCCACCGCGCCGGCCAGAGCUCCACAUCGUCGCGGAUGGGGGAAGGGGGGCUGAUUUCUCACCGACGAUGAGAAACGGAGUGCGGAAUGGGUGAGACGCGGCGGUGGAGGAUAGGGCUUCGGCCUGUAUCGGACGGCAAACCUGUAAAUANNNNNNNNNNNNNNNNNNNNNNNNNNNNNNNNNNNNNNNNNNNNNNNNNNNNNNNNNNGGGCGAUUUGUGGGCCACCGUAAAAAAAAUUACGGGCUGGGCGGCUAUAUGGGCUCUGGUCUGACCCAAAAACCGGAUCAAACUCGUAUAGUCGCCGGAGUUUUACCAUUUGUGCGUUUAUACGGGUUUGCUAGAGUUGCUGUGAGCAGUGUCUCACUCUGUACUCUUCCCAUCGGGCUUCCCCGGUUCUCUCCCCUCCCAUGGUCAGGUUCCAAUCCCUACUUCUCUGGCGAUUUGAGACUUGCGUGUGACUAGCAGCCUCCCGCCCCACCUCAUCCGCUGGAGGCCGAAUCUGUUCCCCGCCAUCCACCGGCUCGCCGACGAGGCAACAAGACUCAGCAGUAAGCUGUAAGCCCUACCACCUUCGCACUCUCCAUCUUGUCAGGGGUUUCUUCCAGUAGAUCGGGCUGGGCGGACUGAUGCUUUGCCUGCCCACCAUUGUUUCUUCUAGUAGAUCUAUGCUUGGUGGGUUUUUUUACCUGGUGUGAACUAGAAAUGUUCAGGAAUGUUUGGCUCUGAUGCGGACCUCUCAAUAUCUCACACUCUCCCGUUCUUGAAGAAAAUAUAAAAUGGCACCUCUUUUGCAAAUCCCUAUUUGUUUUUCUACCAAAAUUGUUUCAGUUAAUGAGUAGAUCUAUGCCUGGUAGAAAUGUGUAUGAAUUUAUUAUACACUAAAGGAAGGAACACCUGUCGCUCUUGGUUCUGAUGCAACGCAUAUCACUCUUUCAGCGGACACCUCUUUCAGUGGCGGAGCCAGAAAAAUAGGAUGAGGAGGGCCGAGUAUUGUUCAACCUUGUUGGGGUGGGCCAAUCCAUCAAAAACACCCAUUUUAGGGGAAAAAAAUCACUGCUACUAUUCAUCUAUUAGGCCUAAAUCACAGAUGUUACUUUGGCUAACCAAAAUUUGUUUUCUUUUAGUCUAUGCUUGGUAAUAAGUUGAUGUAAAACAGCAAAUAUUCGUUCAGUACUACACUUUCCUGUGAUGCCCAGCCAUUGUUUCAGGCUUUCAGCUUGUACUUGAAUAAGAUGUCACUUCUUUUUCUCUACAUAAUUUUACUUAAUAGACCCGCCUUUUCUUCUAAAUAAAAUGAAAAUGGAGUAAGUGCAGUGACUGGGUCAUUGCCGCUGGGAUAUAGCACAUGAGACAUUGGGAACACUGCUCUCUCAUAGUUAGUAUACUAAUGAUGCUGAUUUGGUGUUUCUAGUCAGAGGAAGAGAAUCAAUGAAUCUUGAAAAAUGAGUGCCUAGUACACUAUCUAAUCUUCCUUGGAGUUAAUACUUAUGAAUUAUGAUGCCAACAAAAUGGUGCUUAUUGUACUGUUUCCUGCAAACUGUUGUUACCAAGUGCAAUGAGCAUAUAUGCAUAGAGCAAGGCUAAAGUGACUCGGCAAAUGUACUUUCACUAGUUUAUUUCUGCAUGAUGUAUUUAUGGUUCCCCCGCAUCUUCAUAUUUUGAUGAUACUUUGAACUUCUGCAGCUUUCUUUUCAAAUAGAGCUGACGAAAUUUAGCCUUAAAAUGGUACAUGAAGCAUAUGUAUUGCUAGUUGCAGUUUUAACUCUUUCUAAUUAUGAAUCAUAUGUCUUCUCUUGUAGAUUUGCAUGAUGGAGGCUGCGGAAUUUCGCCCUUGGUCAGAUCUUCCGCCAGAACUCCUGGGACUUGUUCUCAAGCGCCUCCCUUCCCUAGCUGACCGUGUUCGUUUGAGAGCUGUCUGCCACCCAUGGCGCUCUAAUAGCAGGUUGCAGACCCUUCCUCUCCCAUUCCCGUGGCUCACUCUCCCUGAUGGCACCCUCCUCGGCAUUCCAAGCGGUGAAAUUCACCACAUAUCUUUACCGGAAGGUGCGUGUUGCCAGGGCUCCAUUGACAACUUGCUAUUCC